AAUGAACGCUGGCGGCAGGCCUAACACAUGCAAGUCGAACGGAUCCUUCGGGAUUAGUGGCGGACGGGUGAGUAACGCGUGGGAACAUACCCAAAGGUACGGAAUAGCCUCGGGAAACUGGGAGUAAUACCGUAUGUGCUCGAAAGAGGAAAGAUUUAUCGCCUUUGGAUUGGCCCGCGUUGGAUUAGGUAGUUGGUGGGGUAAUGGCCUACCAAGCCGACGAUCCAUAGCUGGUUUGAGAGGAUGAUCAGCCACACUGGGACUGAGACACGGCCCAGAGUCCUACGGGAGGCAGCAGUGGGGAAUCUUAGACAAUGGGGGAAACCUUGAUCUAGCCAUGCCGCGUGAUCGAUGAAGGCCUUAGGGUUGUAAAGAUCUUUCAGGUGGGAAGAUAAUGACUGUACCACCAGAAGAAGCCCCGGCUAACUCCGUGCCAGCAGCCGCCGUAA
Molecule: ribosomal RNA, 449 nt
Filed under: uncultured bacterium
Lineage: Bacteria
Description: partial 16S ribosomal RNA
Rfam family: Bacterial small subunit ribosomal RNA
Source: RNAcentral